This 690-nucleotide ribosomal RNA is filed under the name Niallia circulans. Its description in RNAcentral is "bacterial SSU rRNA". It matches the Rfam family "Bacterial small subunit ribosomal RNA", at positions 89 to 765 of the family's 1533-position model. The record is from RNAcentral. Lineage: Bacteria; Bacillati; Bacillota; Bacilli; Caryophanales; Bacillaceae.
AAGUUAGCGGCGGACGGGUGAGUAACACGUGGGCAACCUGCCUGUAAGACUGGGAUAACUUCGGGAAACCGGAGCUAAUACCGGAUAAUCCUUUUCCUCUCAUGAGGAAAAGCUGAAAGACGGUUUACGCUGUCACUUACAGAUGGGCCCGCGGCGCAAUAGCUAGUUGGUGAGGUAACGGCUCACCAAGGCGACGAUGCGUAGCCGACCUGAGAGGGUGAUCGGCCACACUGGGACUGAGACACGGCCCAGACUCCUACGGGAGGCAGCAGUAGGGAAUCUUCCGCAAUGGACGAAAGUCUGACGGAGCAACGCCGCGUGAGUGAUGAAGGUUUUCGGAUCGUAAAACUCUGUUGUUAGGGAAGAACAAGUACAAGAGUAACUGCUUGUACCUUGACGGUACCUAACCAGAAAGCCACGGCUAACUACGUGCCAGCAGCCGCGGUAAUACGUAGGUGGCAAGCGUUGUCCGGAAUUAUUGGGCGUAAAGCGCGCGCAGGCGGUCCUUUAAGUCUGAUGUGAAAGCCCACGGCUCAACCGUGGAGGGUCAUUGGAAACUGGGGGACUUGAGUGCAGAAGAGAAGAGUGGAAUUCCACGUGUAGCGGUGAAAUGCGUAGAGAUGUGGAGGAACACCAGUGGCGAAGGCGACUCUUUGGUCUGUAACUGACGCUGAGGCGCGAAAGCGUGGG